UCACCCGUGAAGGUAACUAAUAAGGACAUUGUAUGUUUUGAAACAUAACAGCAAUGGGGAAUCAUGUAGUUGUUUUGCUACUGUCUGUAAUUGUUUUGCUUGGUGCAUUAUAUGUACAUAAAGUGGAACAAAAUAUAGUCAAAAAUAAAAGACGAGUUACUUUAACAUGGAAAUGAAAUAAAGAAAGUGAAGAAAGAAUUGGAAUCGAACAACAAGGCACUUGUACAAGUGAAAGUAGAAUUGAAAUCGACGAAAAACGAACUUAAACAAGUGAAAGUAGAAUUUGAAUCGACGAACAAGGAACUUAAACAAGCGCAAGUAGAAUUGGAAUCGACUAAAAAAGAACUUAAACAAGUGAAAGUAGAAUUGGAAUCGACGAGAAAUGAACUUACACAAGUGAAAGUAGAAUUGGAAUCGACGAAAAAUGAACUUACACAAGUGAAAGUAGAACUGGAAUCGACGAGAAAUGAACUUAAACAAGUGAAAGUAGAACUAGAUACGACAAGAAAUGAACUUAAGCAAGUGAAAGUAGAAUUGAAUACGACGAUAGAGCAAAUUAAUAUACUUCGUAAAGAAAUGAUAGAAAAAGACAAUGCCCACAAGAAAGAAAUAAAUCAAAUAAGAGCAGACGUAAAUGCGUUACGUGAAGAACAAAAUAAGAUUAAAACAGGUAUUAGGGACAGAGUUUUAGGAAAAUUUGAUCAUGAGAAAAAAUGAAAAGGAAAGAUUUGAGGAUAAAGGUAAAAGAUGUCGAGGAAGACACAAACAUAACAGAAGAUGAGUUAAAGAAGGAAUAUGCACAAAAAAUGGUUAGAGGAGUUUAGAGACUACAAUUCAUUUUCAUGAAGAUAUUAAAAACGAAUUAAGAGAUUAUUUGUAUUCAUUUACCAGAUCACCAUUGGCUAUACGAGCUUUUGUAAUAACUUGACAUCUGUUGUACUGGUUUUUUGUUAAAGAUCAAAUCUUGCUGAUGUCCUCUGUUGAGUCAUACGGCUUCAAUAUUUUUUGUGGUUACUAAGUAUUAUAGAUAUCAGGAGAUGUGGUAUGAUUGCCAAUGAGAUAAAUAUCUACCAGAGUCCGUUGAUGUGGAGGUCACUAAACGGCCUUCAACAAUAAGCAAACACCACAAAGUAUAGUCCGCGAUAGAAGACCCGGACACAAUUUGUUUUAAACAAUUCAAACGAGAAAAACCAACCGCCUAUAUUUAUCACGACAAACAAAUGUGACAAAUGAACCAACAAGAAGCAAUGAAUUGCUUAUUUCAACUUAAAACAAUGUUGUUUCAAUGUUAAGUUUCAAACUAUAUUCAACCAAAAAUCAACAUCGAUACACUGUUGAAAAUAUUACGUUUUUUCAACGUCAGAUAUUCAAUGUUGUUCUAAAUUUCAAAACCAACAGUUAAUUCAACGUCUUUUCAACGUUAUAGAUCAACGUUGAAAUGCCUGCUGGAAAGCGCUUCCGCGCUUCAUACAAAAUUUUCUUCGGUCAACCUUUUACACCCCAAUGAAUUUUACAAAA
Long non-coding RNA from Mytilus californianus (California mussel), 1518 nucleotides. RefSeq lists it as uncharacterized. The transcript has 4 exons. NCBI's taxonomy places the organism in Eukaryota, Metazoa, Mollusca, Bivalvia, Mytilida, Mytilidae. The record is from RefSeq and is a predicted model, not a curated record.